AUUUCCACGUCAUAUCCUAAGCGGGUUGUGUUUUCAACAGCGAAUCCGCCUUUCCGUAACGUGGUAGAGUAAUAGUUCUUUGUUUUGGUGUUGUUAGUUUCAAGUUCACAGUGCCUGAAUAGGGGAUCUGACAUUUUU
This 138-nucleotide small nucleolar RNA is filed under the name Bombyx mori (domestic silkworm). RNAcentral describes it as "Bm_71". The record is from RNAcentral. Lineage: Eukaryota; Metazoa; Arthropoda; Insecta; Lepidoptera; Bombycidae.